AUUCUCCGAGGUUCUCCGCCGUUUCCAUCUCCAACAUGCUGUCCUUCUUCCUGUGCGCUCCGCCCCAGCGCGUGCGUGCCUCGGCCGUUGAGCCGUCGGUGUUCUGCGCUCGAGUCGCCUCCGAAAAUGUCGCCGGCUUCAUCCUCACUCGCCGGGAGCUGAAGCUGCAUAACUGUAUCUUUACCCUCCAUGCCUCUCUCCCCGCGGCUUCCGCCAUGGCCGCCCAGCUGAGGGAGGAAGAAGACUUUACUCCCGGCCACCUACCUCUGCCUGGAGAAACGGAGCUGAGUAACUCCUGCGCAGUGCUCGGGGCUCGAGGCGGUGUCGACUUGAAGAGGCUGGACGUGGAGAGAUCUCCAAAUCUCGCUACAGCCCCCUCGGACUCGACCAGGAGUUAUGAUGCUCCCCUUCCUCCUGUCUUGUCCCCGGCAAGGGAGCAGCGAGGUGGUGAUCAGUCACAGGGGAAGGAACCCAUGCAUGCUGCCUCCAGCGUGUCAGGUCCGGGACAGAUGAAAGCCUCCAUUAACGCUGCUGUUAACGGCUCUAAGCCGAAAACUUAUGCUGAAGCCCUCCUCUCGUCUGGUAUGUCUACUGCCUCCGGCUCCGACCGGGGCAAGGGCAAACGCCGGCCUGCUCCCUUGGUGCCUCCCGCCGUUGGGUGCUUCCGCUGCCUUUCGCCCUCUCACAUGGUUCGUGACUGCCGUGACCCGCUCAGGUGCCGGCGCUGUGGUGGCAACGGCCACCGACAGUUCCAGUGCUCCAUGCCUGUCGCGCGCCGUCGCCAAACCCCUUUCACCCGCCACCCGGCUUCAGCUCGCCAUGUCCGCCGUCCUGUUCCUGUCAAUGCUGCCGUUCCGUAUGUCCUUCGCACACUUCUUCCUCCUGCUCACGGGUGAUGCUGCUGCUGGGUCCCGGUCGCCUCGCCGGUCGCCACUGCCGUGCCGCUCGUCUUGGGAUGGCUAGCUAUAAAAGAAGCUGCAAACCUCUGGCUGACUGGCAACAUCUCAUUACCAAGAGAAGACACAAGUGUAGUUGCGGUUUGGUGUACCUCUAUUGUUUCUUUUAUGGAUUAGCCCUCUCUUUCUGCUGUGUACUCCCUUAAUUUGAACAGCAAGGUCUUGGCUGCUCCUGUGCAAUAUAUCGGGUGGUCAAUUUGAAAAAGACAGGGGAUAGCCUCCCUUACAUAGUUUAGAUAUAAGAGCUAAUUACCUAUUAGCUAAAAUUAGCUCUAACGCAUCAAAUAAGAGAGCUAAAGGUGGCUAAGUUUUUAGCUAAGUCUUCGACUAGCUGUUAUCCAACUAACUAGCCAACCACAACUAAUUUGAGCUAAUUUUUAGCCCUAAAAGUAACUAUCCAUAUGUAUCCAAACAGACCCUUAUUUUUUACUUCAUAUAUACAAACAAACAAGAAGAUACUCAGUAGCACACUUGUGCCCGAGCUAGCCUAAACGGUUCGUUUUUGAAUUCCACUGGGAAUAAAAAAACACCUAGAUCAAAUUUGUAGGACAGUAGGAAAUGAUUUCAGCAGCCUAAGCGAGUGAUGUAACUAUAUAACCUUGACAUGAGACCUAGACCCAGGUAUAUGCAACUCUACUUCAUGACGUGCUACAUUUCUUUCCGAAGAGCACGAACAUGGAUCGGCAGCAGCAGUGGCGGAUCCAGAAACGGAUCAAGAGGAGGGCUAAAUAAACAUAGGCUAAAUUUUUUUUCUUGCUCAAUGCAGUGCACUAAUAGAUAUAGCUAAGAUUGAUAAUUUAAUAUUGAUUCAAAGUGUUCAAAGACAAAGAUUCGUAGAAUAAACAUAGAAAAAUACCAAAUAUAUGAAAUCUUUUGCAAAAAAGAAAAACCUAUUAAAAGAUUUUUGAGUCCAAGAGGGGGGCUGCAGCCACCCCAGCCCCCCCCUCCCCCCUGCAUCCGCCAAUGGGCCGCAGCAGAGUCAGGAACUCCGUUUGCGAAAUUUUACUGCAGGCACAGCCUUGUGCGCCUAUGGGAAUCAGUUCCUCUAAGCAUCAGACUCGUGGUGAAGCAGAAAGAAAGAGCGGCCAAGCAAUAUGUAAAAGAGCACAAGGUUCAGCAGAACACAAUAACACAUAGAUGGAUCCCAAUAAUUUCAGCCCCGAAAGGCAGGACACUUAUGAACAAAAUACCAAGAAGACAAUCACAAUCAUAAGGGAAGCGAGGUCUGUGUCUGUCAUGGUCUUACCUGAAAACGAUGGACCCAACAAUCCAGCCCCAAGAACAAUCUGAAGUUAUCAAUUCCUUAUUCAGAGUUUCACCCAUCUCCACUUCCACUGUUUGGAAGGAAAACCAUAGAAAGUGCGAAUUAUAAAAAUUCUUUUUACUAAAGAAAAUGAAAUUAUGCACAAUAUAAAAACAAGAACAGAGAGAUUCCAUCGGAAUAGGAAUAGAGAGACCAAGGUAAUGCAAUUAUAGAGGCGUCAGAGUUUAUACACACCUGACCAAGAUGGACACAGCGGCGAGCCCCAAGGAAAACCUGAAUUUCUUAGCAGAGUUUCACCCACCUCGCUCUUUGCACUGUUUCCAAUGGAAAACCAUAGACAAGAAAUUAAUUAAACGGCCUUUCCUAAGGAAAAUGGAAGAUAUGCUGAUGCUUCGAGCUAGACGAGAAGAGAUAGAGAUGAAAGGCAUGGCAAUAUGUCAAGAUAUGUUUGGAGAUCUGUAACUUGUGAUGCAGAGAGUUGAACUACUUACACUGAAUGAUGUUUUGCUGCCAAUUUGGGGUCGGGAAACAGCAAAACGAGAAAAUAAUUCUACUUCAUCUUCCCAAACAAUUUUCAUGAAAACCCAAUGAUUAAAGAUGCCACGAACAUCCCCUUCUAAAAAAGAUACCAAGAACAGUUGAUCCAUCCCAUGAGCGAAGCAUAUGCAUCACCCCGUGUUCGGCUCAAACUGACAGAGAGCGAAAUUCAGCUCAUCAUCACCACCAAGCAAGAACUGCCCCUCCAAAAAAGUAUCUCCUGAGACGCAAUCACGAAAGGAAGGAAACAACACUCCAGAGCUAAGAAAAACAAACGAAAAUUCGCUGAGAAAACCGUAACCCUACCCAGCAACCAAAACAAGCAGCGACAUCAGAGCUCCCAGAGAAAAAGCCGCAUCAACGAAUCGCAUCAGAUCAGCAGCAAGUUCUUACCUCAGCUUAGAUUCGUGUCCGUAUUCGAUUCGUCUUCGCGCUUGCUCUCUCGUCUGCUGCAAAGGUUGUGGGGGAGCAGGUGGUGGUCAACACUCAACCGCAGGAAAUGUUUUGCCGCGUGAAACUGAAACCCUGUUUAUUUGGUCCAACAGCCAACACGCUAGGAUCACUGUAAACUGAUUGGCAGUCCUCGCCUCAAACGCAUUAAAAACACGUGGUCAAACAACUCUUCCCUUUUUUCUUUCGUUUUUCCAAGCAAAGAAAAAUAUGUCUGGGAGGGGGGACAUGAAAACGACCGGACUAAUGCAGGGGAAAAGCAU
Molecule: long non-coding RNA, 3470 nt
Filed under: Sorghum bicolor (sorghum)
Lineage: Eukaryota; Viridiplantae; Streptophyta; Magnoliopsida; Poales; Poaceae
Description: long non-coding RNA (SBIC_LNC000119)
Source: RNAcentral